UCUGCCCAAUGAUUUUAAAAUUUAAUGGCUGCAGUAUAAUUAACUGUACAAAGGUAGCAUAAUCAAUUGUUUUUUAAUUAAGAACUAGAAUGAAAGAAUUAAUGAGAUAUAUUCUGUCUCAUAUAUAUAUUAUGAAAUUAAAUUUUUAGUAAGAAUGCUAAAAUAUGUUUAUGGGACGAUAAGACCCUAUAGAAUUUUAUAUUUAUAUUUGGAAUUAAAAUUUAUUUUAAGUAUAAGUAUUUGAUUGGGAGGAUUAAUAAAUUUAAUUAACUUUAUUUAAAAUAUUAACUUUAAUUAAAGAAUUAUUUUUGAUCUUUUAUUAAAAAUUAAAAGAAAAAAUUACCUUAGGGAUAACAGCGUAAUAUCUUUUUAAAGAUCAUAUUAAUAAAGAUGGUUGCGACCUCGAUGUUGAAUUAAGAUAAAUUUUAAACGGAGAAGUUUAAUGAUUAAGUCUGUUCGAC
This 461-nucleotide ribosomal RNA is filed under the name Bombus lapidarius. RNAcentral's name for it is "partial 16S ribosomal RNA". It matches the Rfam family "Bacterial large subunit ribosomal RNA", at positions 1858 to 2585 of the family's 2925-position model. Lineage: Eukaryota; Metazoa; Arthropoda; Insecta; Hymenoptera; Apidae. The record is from RNAcentral.